CAUCUUACCGGACAGUGCUGGAUUUCUCGGCUCGACUCUAACACUGUCUGGUAACGAUGUU
This 61-nucleotide microRNA precursor is filed under the name Equus caballus (horse). RNAcentral's name for it is "Eca-Mir-8-P2a_pre stem-loop". It matches the Rfam family "mir-8/mir-141/mir-200 microRNA precursor family", at positions 6 to 67 of the family's 72-position model. Rfam says of the family: The bounds of the precursors are predicted based on conservation and base pairing and are not generally known. The record is from RNAcentral. RNAcentral also lists the same sequence under 1 other name. Lineage: Eukaryota; Metazoa; Chordata; Mammalia; Perissodactyla; Equidae.